RNAcentral lists this unclassified non-coding RNA (345 nucleotides) under uncultured Mortierella. RNAcentral's name for it is "sequence contains ITS2". The stretch from base 1 to 52 matches the Rfam family "5.8S ribosomal RNA", at positions 103 to 154 of the family's 154-position model. Lineage: Eukaryota; Fungi; Mortierellomycota; Mortierellomycetes; Mortierellales; Mortierellaceae. The record is from RNAcentral.
AACGCAUAUUGCGCUCUCUGGUAUUCCGGAGAGCAUGCUUGUUUGAGUAUCAGUAAACACCUCAACUCCCUUUUCUUUUUUGAAAUGGGAGCUGGACUUGAGUGAUCCCAACACUUUUCUCAUUGGAAAGUGGCGGGUCACUUGAAAUGCAGGUGCAGCUGGACUUUUCUCUGAGCUAUAAGCAUAUCUAUUUAGUCUGCCUAAAAAACAGAUUAUUACCUUUGCUGCAGCUAACAUAAAGGAGAUGAGUUCUUGUGCUGACUGAUGCAGGAUUCACAGAGACAGCUUCGCGGCUGACUUUGUAAACUCGAUCUCAAAUCAAGUAAGACUACCCGCUGAACUUAA